RNAcentral lists this long non-coding RNA (1067 nucleotides) under Marmota monax (woodchuck). The record is from RNAcentral. Lineage: Eukaryota; Metazoa; Chordata; Mammalia; Rodentia; Sciuridae.
UACCAGCAGGCCAAGGCCCAGAAUUCAGCCACCCUGCCCAGUAGCACAGCCAUGCUCCCUCCUCUCGACAAUGUCAGAUGAAGGCUGGAGGGCAGGACUCAAGCCUAACUAGUUGUCCUGCACCUGGAGCAGGUUAUAGCCCACAGUAAGUACCUGGCUCCACACCCAUCAUCCAGAGGAAUAGCUUGCAGGGAUGCAGGCAGGUGGGUAAGUUGGCUGGGCCAGGACCCUGCCCUCCAGGAGGAGCUGGUUCUGACCUCUAUGUCUAGUCUUCCGAGGCUGGUUGGCCAGCACCAGCUCCGAGCACUGGAGUUCUGCACUGCAGGUCUGGUGACUCUCGCCAUAAGACAGGAGGAGGCACCUGUGGAGGAUGGCCCUGUGCUGAGUCCAGGCUGGAGAUGGAUAGGGGGUGGGGUGGAUGCCCAGGGUCUGGUGCUGGACAGUGUCAUAGAAGGACGGAUUACUUUCCUUCUGCUGGGAACAGUGCUAGGGGUAUCAGCCCCUUUACAAUCCAAUCCAUUCCUUUACCCACCUCAUUCUGCCACCCCCGAACUUGCUAUCAGCAUAACGUCAGCUCUGUGCUAGAUACUAUGGCACACACCAUCUGAAUUAUCCAGUGAUCAGAAUUUCUACUUUAUAGAUGAGAAAACUAAGGUUGAAUGAGUUAUCCAAGUUCCUAGAACUGUUCAGGGGUGGAACUAGGAGUUUAAACCAGCCUUUUCUGAUGCCACAGACCAGCACUAGCCACUUAGCCACACUGCCUCCCUUGCCAAGUGGAGUCUCAGGGAGCGGAAUGAAGUUGACAGUGUUCCCUAUGCUUCAAGAGCUGGUGGAGGGGCCUAUCAGAGGCCACAGCAAACCAGGACUCCACCUUCCAGAACUUACACUCAGACACCCCACAGCCUAGGGCCUGGGCUUUAGGGCUACCCCAAACCAAGGUAAGUGGGCCAGGAUAGUCUAGAGAUGAGAGGGUAGUACUUACCAUGCACAUGGCCUUGUGUUGGGGGCGGGGUCUCACUCCUCACCAAAUCCCUCCCCAGGAAACUCCUUUAUGCUGGUUCUAUAGG